Molecule: ribosomal RNA, 253 nt
Filed under: uncultured bacterium
Lineage: Bacteria
Description: partial 16S ribosomal RNA
Rfam family: Bacterial small subunit ribosomal RNA
Source: RNAcentral
UACGUAGGGGGCAAGCGUUGUCCGGAUUUAUUGGGCGUAAAGAGCGUGUAGGCGGCCAUGUAGGUCCGUUGUGAAAACUCGAGGCUCAACCUCGAGACGCCGAUGGAAACCAUGUGGCUAGAGUCCGGAAGAGGAGAGUGGAAUUCCUGGUGUAGCGGUGAAAUGCGCAGAUAUCAGGAAGAACACCCGUGGCUAAGGCGGCUCUCUAGUACGGUACUGACACUGAGACGCGAAAGCGUGGGGAGCGAACAGG